GUCGAGGGGUAUGGUUCUUCGGAACCAGAGACCGGCGCACGGGUGCGUAACGCGUAUGCAAUCUGCCUUUCACAGAGGGAUAGCCCAGAGAAAUUUGGAUUAAUACCUCAUAGUAUAGCGACAUCGCAUGAUGAUGCUAUUAAAGUCACAACGGUGAAAGAUGAGCAUGCGUCCCAUUAGCUAGUUGGUAAGGUAACGGCUUACCAAGGCAACGAUGGGUAGGGGUCCUGAGAGGGAGAUCCCCCACACUGGUACUGAGACACGGACCAGACUCCUACGGGAGGCAGCAGUGAGGAAUAUUGGUCAAUGGGCGCAAGCCUGAACCAGCCAUGCCGCGUGCAGGAUGACGGUCCUAUGGAUUGUAAACUGCUUUUGCACAGGAAGAAACACUGAUUCGUGAAUCAGCUUGACGGUACUGUGAGAAUAAGGAUCGGCUAACUCCGUACCAGCAGCCGCGGUAAUACGGAGGAUCCAAGCGUUAUCCGGAAUCAUUGGGUUUAAAGGGUCCGUAGGCGGUCUGGUAAGUCAGUGGUGAAAGCCCAUCGCUCAACGGUGGAACGGCCAUUGAUACUGCUGGACUUGAAUUAUUAGGAAGUAACUAGAAUAUGUAGUGUAGCGGUGAAAUGCUUAGAGAUUACAUGGAAUACCAAUUGCGAAGGCAGGUUACUACUAAUGGAUUGACGCUGAUGGACGAAAGCGUGGGUAGCGAACAGGAUUAGAUACCCUGGUAGUCCACGCCGUAAACGAUGGAUACUAGCUGUUGGAAGCAAUUUCAGUGGCUAAGCGAAAGUGAUAAGUAUCCCACCUGGGGAG
RNAcentral lists this ribosomal RNA (813 nucleotides) under uncultured bacterium. Its description in RNAcentral is "bacterial SSU rRNA". It matches the Rfam family "Bacterial small subunit ribosomal RNA", at positions 61 to 880 of the family's 1533-position model. The record is from RNAcentral.